AUGAACGCUGGCGGCGUGCCUAAUCCCUGCAAGUCGAGCGAACAGACGAGGAGCUUGCUCCUCUGACGUUAGCGGCGGACGGGUGAGUAACACGUGGGUAACCUACCUAUAAGACUGGGAUAACUUCGGGAAACCGGAGCUAAUACCGGAUAAUAUAUUGAACCGCAUGGUUCAAUAGUGAAAGACGGUUUUGCUGUCCCUUAUAGAUGGAUCCGCGCCGCAUUAGCUAGUUGGUAAGGUAACGGCUUACCAAGGCAACGAUGCGUAGCCGACCUGAGAGGGUGAUCGGCCACACUGGAACUGAGACACGGUCCAGACUCCUACGGGAGGCAGCAGUAGGGAAUCUUCCGCAAUGGGCGAAAGCCUGACGGAGCAACGCCGCGUGAGUGAUGAAGGUCUUCGGAUCGUAAAACUCUGUUAUUAGGGGAGAACAAAUGUGUAAGUAACUAUGCACGUCUUGACGGUACCUAAUCAGAAAGCCACGGCUAACUACGUG
RNAcentral lists this ribosomal RNA (496 nucleotides) under uncultured bacterium. RNAcentral's name for it is "partial 16S ribosomal RNA". It matches the Rfam family "Bacterial small subunit ribosomal RNA", at positions 29 to 507 of the family's 1533-position model. The record is from RNAcentral.